UAGACUAUACUUUCAGGGAUCAUUUCUAUAGUAUCCAACUAGAGAAAUGCACUCAAACACUGGAGGCUUUCAAGAAGAGAUUGGACUUUCAAGAAGAGAUUGCCAUCUGUCAGA
Molecule: small nucleolar RNA, 114 nt
Organism: Naja naja (Indian cobra)
Lineage: Eukaryota; Metazoa; Chordata; Lepidosauria; Squamata; Elapidae
Gene: U3
Rfam family: Small nucleolar RNA U3
About the family: Small nucleolar RNAs (snoRNAs) are involved in the processing and modification of rRNA in the nucleolus. There are two main classes of snoRNAs: the box C/D class, and the box H/ACA class.
Source: Ensembl